UCCCUAUGGGGUGCAGCAGGCGCGAAACCUCUGCAAUAGGCGAAAGCCUGACAGUGUUACUCUGAGUGAUCUCCGUUAAGGAGAUCUUUUGGCACCUCUAAAAAUGGUGCAGAAUAAGGGGUGGGCAAGUCUGGUGUCAGCCGCCGCGGUAAUACCAGCACCCCGAGUGGUCGGGACGUUUAUUGGGCCUAAAGCAUCCGUAGCCGGUUCUACAAGUCUUCCGUUAAAUCCAGCUGCUUAACAGAUGGGCUGCGGAAGAUACUAUGGGGCUAGGAGGCGGGAGAGGCAAGCGGUACUCGAUGGGUAGGGGUAAAAUCCGUUGAUCCAUUGAAGACCACCAGUGGCGAAGGCGGCUUGCCAGAACGCGCUCGACGGUGAGGGAUGAAAGCUGGGGGAGCAAACCGGAUUAGAUACCCGGGUAGUCCCAGCUGUAAACGAUGCAGACUCGGUGAUGAGUUGGCUACAUGCCAUCUCAGUGCCGCAGGGAAGCCGUUAAGUUUGCCGCCUGGGGAGUACGGUCGCAAGACUGAAACUUAAAGGAAUCGGCGGGGGAGCACCACAAGGGGUGAAGCCUGCGGUUCAAUUGGAGUCAACGCCGGAA
Molecule: ribosomal RNA, 601 nt
Filed under: uncultured archaeon
Lineage: Archaea
Description: bacterial SSU rRNA
Rfam family: Archaeal small subunit ribosomal RNA
Source: RNAcentral